GAGAGAUGAGAAAGGACAGUAUCUCAGGAAUAAGUCUCGGCUAACUACGUGCCAGCAGCCGCGGUAAAACGUAGGAGGCAAGCGUUAUCCGGAUUCACUGGGCGUAAAGCGCGUGCAGGCGGUGCGGUAAGUUGGGCGUGAAAUCUCCCGGCUCAACUGGGAGAGGUCGUCCAAUACUACCGUACUUGAGAGCAGAAGAGGAAAAUGGAAUUCCCGGUGUAGUGGUGAAAUGCGUAGAUAUCGGGAGGAACACCAGUGGCGAAGGCGAUUUUCUGGUCUGUUUCUGACGCUCAGACGCGACAGCUAGGGUAGUAAACGGGAUUAGAGACCCCGGUAAUCCUAGCCGUAAACGAUGUGAACUUGGCGUUGGUGGGUUAAACUCCAUCAGUGCCGCAGCAAACGCGAUAAGUUCACCGCCUGGGGACUACGGCCGCAAGGUUAAAACUCAAAGGAAUU
Molecule: ribosomal RNA, 456 nt
Filed under: Anaerolineae bacterium
Lineage: Bacteria; Bacillati; Chloroflexota; Anaerolineae
Description: bacterial SSU rRNA
Rfam family: Bacterial small subunit ribosomal RNA
Source: RNAcentral